AUGAAGCCUGGCAUGGAUGUUACCUUUGGUCCCACUGGCCUGACCACCGAGGUGAGCUCCCUUGAAAUGCAUCACGAGGCUGUCCAGGAGGCCCUUCCUGGUGAUCUUGUUGGCUUCAAUGUCAAGAAUGUAGCUGCCAUGGAUCUGAAGCGUGGGUAUGUGGCAUCAAAUGCCAAAGAUGACCCUGCCAAGGAGGCUAGGAGCUUCACUUCGCAGAUUAUAGUGCUGAACGACACCGGAGUUAUCAGGAAUGGGUACACACCUGUGCUGGACUGCCACACCUCCCACAUAGCUGUGAAGUUUGCUCAGUUGGUGACAAAGAUUGACAGGCGAUCUGGCAAGGAGGUUGAGAAAGAGCCCAAGUUUCUUAAAAAGGGUGAUGCUGGGAUUGUGAAUAUGAUUCCCACCAAGCUUAUGGUAGUGGAGACCUUCACCAACUACCCUCCUCUAGGCCGUUUUGUUGUUCGUGAUAUGAAGCAAACGGUCGUUGUUGGAGUUGUCAGGAGUGUCGUGAAGAUGGAGCCUGUGCCACCUCCAUUGUCAGCGGCUGAGGACAAUCAGCCUCUGCUGCCUCAAUUGGCAAAGGCUAGGGACAUCACUGUUGCUAGGGAGGAUAACUCGUUGCCUCCCGCCACCGAACCUAAUGUGGUGGGGUAUAUUUCGGUCGUGGCCACACCUCUUGGUGGUGGCCCACCGACAUUCAUCACAGUGAAGGGAACAGACACCUACGGUGGCCCGUUUAUGGAGAGUGCAGAAAAGAAACUGAAGAGCAACCGUGAGCUAGUUUUCCUUGUAGGUCCCAGGAAUGAGACUCCGGCCGCAGAUGCGCUUAUGUGCUCGCUGCGUGGCUAUCAAGACAAGGAUACAAACCUGCUGCCCAUGUGGUACUACGAAGCAUAG
Molecule: ribosomal RNA, 900 nt
Filed under: Triticum aestivum (bread wheat)
Lineage: Eukaryota; Viridiplantae; Streptophyta; Magnoliopsida; Poales; Poaceae
Description: partial small subunit ribosomal RNA
Source: RNAcentral